CCUUGGAAAAUGGAGCCGAAGAAGGACGUGAUUACCUGCGAAAAGUCUGGGGGAGCUGGAAGUAAGCUGCGAUCCCGGAAUGUCCGAAUGGGGAAACCUAACAUGAUUUAUCUCAUGUUAUCUAUAAGUGAAUACAUAGCUUAUAAGAAGGGAACCUAGGGAACUGAAACAUCUUAGUACCUAGAGGAAAAGAAAAUAAUAAUGAUUCUGUUAGUAGUGGCGAGCGAACACGGAACAGGCCAAACCGUUCUACGGGGCGGGGUUGUAGGACUUUUGUUAGAGUUACAAAGUUAUUGUAUAGUAGAAGCUAUUGGGAAGUAGCGGCAUAGAGGGUGAUACCCCCGUAUACGAAAUGCAAUAACCUCGAGAAAGUAUCCUGAGUACGGCGAAACACGUGAAAUUUUGUCGGAAUCUGCCAAGACCACUUGGUAAGCCUAAAUACUACCAUUUUACCGAUAGUGAACCAGUACCGUGAGGGAAAGGUGAAAAGCACCCCGAGAGGGGAGUGAAAGAGAUCCUGAAACCAUAUGCUUACAAGAAGGUAGAGCCCGUUAAUGGGUGAUACCGUGCUUUUUGUAGAAAGAGCCGGCGAGUUACUAUUGCAUGCGAGGUUAAGUCGAUAUAGAUGGAGCCGUAGUGAAAGCGAGCCUUAAUAGGGCGUUUAGUAUGCAGUAGUAGACACGAAACCGGGUGAUCUAGCCAUGAGCAGGUUGAAGUUAGGGUAAAACCUAAUGGAGGACCGAACCAGUAUUCGUUGAAAAGACUUUGGAUGACUUGUGGCUAGCGGUGAAAUUCCAAUCGAACCCGGAGAUAGCUAGUUCUCCCCGAUAUAUCUUUAAGGAUAGCGUUAUGUGAAUUGUUGUGGAGGUAGAGCACUGAAUCUAUGAUGGCUGCACCUAGCGGUACUGAUUAGAAUUAAACUCCGAAUGCCAUAACUUGUGCAUAGCAGUCAGAACAUGGGUGAUAAGGUCCAUGCUCGUGAGGGAAACAGCCCAGAUCGUCAGCUAAGGUCCCUAAGUGUAAACUAAGUGUGUAAGGAUGUGGAACUGCACAGACAGCUAGGAUGUUGGCUUAGAAGCAGCCAUCAUUUAAAGAGUGCGUAACAGCUCACUAGUCGAGUGAUUCUGCGCCGAAAAUGUACCGGGGCUUAAGUUUACCACCGAAGCUACGGAUUGUACGCAAGUACAGUGGUAGGGGAGCGUUCCAAGGGUGAUGAAGUCAGACCGUAAGGACUGGUGGAGCGCUUGGAAGUGAUUAUGCCGGCAUGAGUAACGUUUGGAAGUGAGAAUCUUCCAUGCCGUUUGACCAAGGUUUCCUGGGCAAGGUUCGUCCACCCAGGGUUAGUCAGGACCUAAGACGAGGCCGACAGGCGUAGUCGAUGGACAACAGGUUGAUAUUCCUGUACCAGUUAAUUAGUGAUGGAGUGACGGAGAAGGAUAGUAUAUCCCGGGUGCUGGUUGUCCCGGGCUAAGCACAAAGACGGCAACAUUGGCAAAUCCGUGUUGUAUUAACGUUGAAGUGUGAUGGGGAGUGAACGGUUCGCCUAGUAACGAAGUAUAUGACUCCACGCUUCCAAGAAAAGCUUCUAACAUUAAUAAUUAACUGCCUGUACCUAGAACGAACACACGUGGUCAAGGAGAAAAUCCUAAGGCAAGCGAGAUAACUGUAGCUAAGGAACUCUGCAAAAUAACUCCGUAACUUCGGAAGAAGGAGUGCUCAUCUUUGAUGAGCCGCAGUGAAGAGGGAGGGGCAACUGUUUAACAAAAACACAGCUCUCUGCUAAGUCGCAAGACGAUGUAUAGGGGGUGACACCUGCCCAGUGCCGGAAGGUUAAGAGGAGAAGUCAGCGCAAGCGAAGCUUUGAAUUGAAGCCCCGGUGAACGGCGGCCGUAACAAUAACGGUCCUAAGGUAGCGAAAUUCCUUGUCAGGUAAAUUCUGACCCGCACGAAAGGUGUAAUGAUCCCUUCGCUGUCUCGGCUGCAGACUCGGUGAAAUUUUAGUACCGGUGAAGAUG
Molecule: ribosomal RNA, 2015 nt
Filed under: Listeria monocytogenes
Lineage: Bacteria; Bacillati; Bacillota; Bacilli; Caryophanales; Listeriaceae
Description: partial 23S ribosomal RNA
Rfam family: Bacterial large subunit ribosomal RNA
Source: RNAcentral